GAUGAACGCUAGCGGUAUGCUUAACACAUGCAAGUCGUACGGGAAGUUUUUAACUCAAAGUGGCGGACGGGUGAGUAACACGUGAGAAUUUACCUUUAGGAGGGGGAUAACAAUUGGAAACGAUUGCUAAAUACCCCCAUAUGCUUUUUUAAGUGAAACGGAUUUAUUCGCCUAAAAGAAAAGCUCGCGGCUGAUUAGCUAGUUGGUAAGGUAAUGGCUUACCAAGGCGACGAUCAGUAUCUGGUUUGAGAGGAUGAUCAGACACACUGGAACUGAGACACGGUCCAGACUCCUACGGGAGCAGCAAGUGGGGAAUUUUCCGCAAAUGGGCGAAAGCCUGACGGAGC
This 347-nucleotide ribosomal RNA is filed under the name uncultured bacterium. RNAcentral describes it as "bacterial SSU rRNA". It matches the Rfam family "Bacterial small subunit ribosomal RNA", at positions 28 to 392 of the family's 1533-position model. The record is from RNAcentral.